AGAGAGAGAGAGAGAGAGGGGAAACAAUGCCGGCGUUGAGUUAUUUGGAUUGGUUUCUCUUCUCUCUCAGCAGAGCAUUUUGUAGUCCUCUCGCUAUUUUCAUUCAGAUCCAGGGAUGUGUGAUCUGCUUAACACUUGCCAUUGGGUGGGCUUUUGCUGCUUUUGUCAGGAAUAGAGAGAUCAAGCGGAUGAAGAAUAGUAUGAGAGCUGGCAAUAGCUUUGCAUUUCUUUUUCAUGAUAUUACUAAACUAGAGCACUCAAAUCAGGUCAAUCUGCCUCGAGUGACUGUUGUUAUGCCCUUAAAGGGGUUUGGAGAACACAACUUACAUAAUUGGAGAAGUCAGAUCACAUCUCUUUAUGGUGGUCCUCUGGAAUUCCUAUUUGUUGUGGAAAGUACGGAAGACCCUGCAUACCAUGCUGUAUCUCGCUUAAUAACAGAAUUUAAGGAUGAUGUUGAUGUUAGAGUUAUUAUAGCUGGUUUGUCAACAACUUGUAGUCAGAAAAUUCACAACCAGUUGGUAUGUAACAGGUUCACAACUUAUUAAAUGGUCUUUAACAAUGUCCUUUUGGUCAACUAUGUGUCCAUGUCACAAACAUGAUUUGUUAUUUUCAUUCACACGGCAUGGCUAUAAAUUCCAAAAUUCUUGUCAAGUGGGAUUUUCUUCUUUGGGUUAGAUGCUUGAUUUUACUGAACAUUGUAUGUCCUUCCUAUACAAAUUGCAUCUAUAAAACCAGGACACAUUUGCUAGAUCAUAUAGUAACUUGAGCCUGCCUCUGCCUGUACUUGUCUAUGUUGCCUUUAUUAUUAUCUCCUCUAGAAGGUUUUUUUUAGCAUUGAAUUUGUGUCAUGGUGGUGUUAUAUAGUUUGGUGUAGAGAAAAUGCACAAAGACAGCAAGUAUGUAUUAUUUUUGGAUGAUGAUGUUAGACUGCACCCUGGGUCAAUUGGAGCCCUGACUGCUGAAAUGGAAAAAAAUCCUGAGAUAUUUAUUCAAACUGGAUACCCUCUUGAUCUGCCUUCCGGGAGUUUAGGAAGCUAUUGCAUCUAUGAAUAUCACAUGCCUUGUUCAAUGGGCUUUGCCACUGGUGGAAGAACAUUCUUUCUAUGGGGCGGGUGCAUGAUGAUGCAUGCUGAUGAUUUUAGAUAUGACCGCUAUGGUGUGGUCUCAGGACUACGAGAUGGUGGAUACUCUGAUGAUAUGACUCUUGCAGCUCUAGCUGGUGCUCAUAAGAGGCUUAUUACAUCACCUCCAGUUGCUGUUUUUCCUCACCCCCUUGCUAGCGAUCUCAGUUUUUCAAGGUACUGGAAUUACUUGAGGAAGCAAACAUUUGUAUUGGAAUCAUAUAUAUCGAAGGUUAAUUGGUUAAUGAACCGUGCAUUAUUUUCUUCCCACUGCUAUUUGUCAUGGGGGUUUGUAGCGCCAUACCUUAUGGCUAUGACUCAUGUUGCAGCAGCACUGCGAAUCUAUAUCCGAGGAUAUGCACAUGAGGAAACAAUCUUUGUUUCUAAUGGGUUGUUACUGGUCACUGGCCUAGCUGUGUGCACUUUUAUAGAACUUUUCUCAAUGUGGAAUUUGACUAGGAUAGAAGUUCAACUGUGCAACAUGCUAUCCCCUGAGGCACCUCGACUCUCUCUUGCAACUUAUAACUGGGUUCUGGUGAGUAUUUCUAGUUUGUUUUGGUGGAGUUGCAUACUUGUUAUACUUCAUUCUGGAUGUGGAAGUCCUCUAUGUAAAAAAUUUAAGAUGGUCCAAGUGUUUUACAUUGGUCUGGUGAUUGUCUGCUUUACAAUGAAAUACCAUCUCUAUCCUGUACCUCGACUUUCUUCUGGUUAGUCCUUGCCAUUGUAUAUUUGGGUGGGGGAUUUUAAUCUUCUUUGCCUUUUAAAAUUAAGGGUUUCAAUCUCUCCUUAGAUUAGUUGGCAUGAUGUAUUAUUAAGCAUUUAGGCUAUGGGUGAAAAGAUGAUUGAUUAUCUAAAUAGAAUGGUUUUAUUUGGAAAUAUGAAAUAUAGCAAUUAUUCAGUAUACUUGCAGAAGGGCCUCAAGUUUCAAUAGAAGUCCAAAUAUCAUUUGGGUUGGGGUGGGAUGUAAAUAACUGAUGACUUGCAGCUAAUUUAAUAUUAACAAAAUGAUUUACAAUGCAACAGGUAUUCAUUGCAUUGCUGGUGGAUAACUUCUUAUACCCCAUAUCUGCAUUCAGUUCCCAUUUCUCUCAGUCUAUAAAUUGGUCUGGUAUACGGUACCACUUGAAGAAUGGCAAAAUAGGCAAGAUCGAAAGAAGUAAGGGUAAGGGCCCAAUUUACACGGACUUGGGUGGCAAACACUUGUAUGGGAAGAAAGGAGUUCCUCCCAGAUCCUCUUUCCUUGGCUCUUUGGCAAAGAGUUGGACACAGUGGCGACAGCCUAAGAAAUUUGAUGUUUAGAAAUUGGCUCUAACGGGUGAAAUUCUCGUGAUUUUUCGCGCUUUUAAGGAUCCAAUGGGCAGUUAGGGUUUUGGGAGCAGGAUUCUUGGUGGAUUGUUGUACUCUCGGAGAGGGUUGACCAUUCCGUUCUUGAUUUGAUUUUAGAGAUUUAGGAAUUUUAGCCUCAUUUUUUUAAAAAUCUCCUUUCAAUCAAUUUUAUUCUUCAAUUUUGGCCAUCUUCUUGUCUUGGGCUGAUUUAGUAACUUGCGGUGAUAUUUGUUCUGUAUUCUAUGUAAUUUAUACAGUUUAAUAUCAAAUGUCAGUCGGCAGUAUUUCAAA
Molecule: unclassified non-coding RNA, 2738 nt
Filed under: Hevea brasiliensis (rubber tree)
Lineage: Eukaryota; Viridiplantae; Streptophyta; Magnoliopsida; Malpighiales; Euphorbiaceae
Source: RNAcentral